This 76-nucleotide transfer RNA is filed under the name Candidatus Doudnaibacteriota bacterium. RNAcentral describes it as "Candidatus Doudnabacteria bacterium tRNA-Asp". It matches the Rfam family "tRNA". Rfam says of the family: Transfer RNA (tRNA) molecules are approximately 80 nucleotides in length. Their secondary structure includes four short double-helical elements and three loops (D, anti-codon, and T loops). The record is from RNAcentral. Lineage: Bacteria; Candidatus Doudnaibacteriota.
GGGGGCGUAGCUCAGUUGGCAGAGCGCGGGCUUGUCAGGCCUGAGGUCGCGGGUUCGAGCCCCGUCGUCCCCGCCA